Molecule: ribosomal RNA, 431 nt
Filed under: uncultured bacterium
Lineage: Bacteria
Description: bacterial SSU rRNA
Rfam family: Bacterial small subunit ribosomal RNA
Source: RNAcentral
AACGAACGCUGGCGGCAGGCCUAACACAUGCAAGUCGAACGCCCCUUCGGGGGAGUGGCAGACGGGUGAGUAACGCGUGGGAACCUUCCCUGUGGUACGGAAUAACUCAGAGAAAUUUGAGCUAAUACCGUAUACGCCCUUCGGGGGAAAGAUUUAUCGCCAUAGGAUGGGCCCGCGUCGGAUUAGCUUGUUGGUGAGGUAAUGGCUCACCAAGGCGACGAUCCGUAGCUGGUCUUAGAGGAUGAUCAGCCACACUGGGACUGAGACACGGCCCAGACUCCUACGGGAGGCAGCAGUGGGGAAUAUUGGACAAUGGGCGCAAGCCUGAUCCAGCCAUGCCGCGUGAGUGACGAAGGCCUUAGGGUUGUAAAGCUCUUUUGGCGGGGACGAUAAUGACGGUACCCGCAGAAUAAGCCCCGGCUAACUUCGUG